This 397-nucleotide ribosomal RNA is filed under the name uncultured bacterium. RNAcentral describes it as "bacterial SSU rRNA". It matches the Rfam family "Bacterial small subunit ribosomal RNA", at positions 362 to 776 of the family's 1533-position model. The record is from RNAcentral.
UAUUGCACAAUGGGCGAAAGCCUGAUGCAGCGGCGCCGCGUGAGCGAAGAAGUAUUUCGGUAUGUAAAGCUCUAUCAUCAGGGAAGAUAAUGACGGUACCUGAUUAAUAAGCACCGGCUAAAUACGUGCCAGCAGCCGCGGUAAUACGUAAGGUGCAAGCGUUAUCCGGAUUUACUGGGUGUAAAGGGGGCGCAGGCGGUGCGGCAAGUCUGAUGUGAAAGCCCCGGGCUCAACCCCGGUACUGCAUUGGAAACUGUCGUACUAGAGUGUCGGAGGGGUAAGCGGAAUUCCUAGUGUAGCGGUGAAAUGCGUAGAUAUUAGGAGGAACACCAGUGGCGAAGGCGGCUUACUGGACGAUAACUGACGCUGAGGCUCGAAAGCGUGGGGAGCAAACAGG